UACGUAGGGUGCGAGCGUUAAUCGGAAUUACUGGGCGUAAAGCGUGCGCAGGCGGCUUUGCAAGACAGAUGUGAAAUCCCCGGGCUCAACCUGGGAACUGCAUUUGUGACUGCAAGGCUAGAGUACGGCAGAGGGGGAUGGAAUUCCGCGUGUAGCAGUGAAAUGCGUAGAUAUGCGGAGGAACACCAAUGGCGAAGGCAAUCCCCUGGGCCUGUACUGACGCUCAUGCACGAGAGCGUGGGGAGCAAACAGG
Molecule: ribosomal RNA, 253 nt
Filed under: uncultured bacterium
Lineage: Bacteria
Description: partial 16S ribosomal RNA
Rfam family: Bacterial small subunit ribosomal RNA
Source: RNAcentral